CCCAGCUACUCAGGAGACUGAGCAUGGUGGUACAUGCCUGUAGUCCCAGCUACUCAGGAGACUGAGGUGGGAGGAUCACUUGAACCCAGGAAGUCAAGGCUGCAGUGAGCUGUGAUCAUGCCACUGCACUCCAGCUUGGAUAACAGAGUGAGACCCUGUCUCCAAAAAAAAAAAGAAAGAAAAAGAAAACAAGUCAUGGAGCUAGUAAGUGCCCAAGAGAACAAGAAUAAACCUAGAUCCGUGGGACUCCAAGCCUGUGCGCGCUCCAUGCUUGCUUUUUCCACCACACCACGUUAACACAAUUUCCUCCUUCCAUGAGACCCCAGGGGAAAGGGGCACCUGAGAAGCCCUCGUGGCACCCUCCCAGGUUGUUUCCACGGCUACUACAGUAAGAAAGUGUUGCUGGGGGAAGGUCAGCUCUCUGGCCCACGCCUUCCACCUGUUUCUGCUGUGUUCUUUCCUCAGGGAUCCCAACGGCUUCAAUGACUGGACCUUCUCCACUGUGCGAUGCUGGGGGGAGAGAGCCCGAGGGACCUACAGGCUUGUCAUCAGGGAUGUCGGGGAUGAGUCAUUCCAGGUCGGCAUCCUCCGGCAAUGGCAGCUGACCCUAUAUGGCUCUGUGUGGAGUGCAGUAGACAUCAGGGACAGACAAAGGUGGGUAAAGCCGCAUGUGUCAGAGGGAAGGCCAGUCACAGGGGAAGGGCUGCCUAGGGAGCCCAUCGCCCUCUGAACCCCAGCUGUGCUUCCCAGUUCCAGCGUCAAGCUGGUAGAUGGAGCCCCGGGCUGGGAACUCACAGUCUGGGCCUCUCCUUUUUGCUGUGGGGCUUCCCUGUCUUCACCUGUAAGGCAGGAAAAUGGGUGAGGGCAGAUGGUAUAGGAACCAUAGUCAGUGGGGCAUCCUCACCUCUUUUCUUCUCCACAGGCUGUUAGAGAGUGCCAUGAGUGGAAAAUACCUGCACGAUGACUUCGCCCUGCCCUGCCCACCGGGGCUGAAAAUUCCUGAGGAAGAUGGUUACACCAUCACCCCCAACACCCUCAAGCAGUCUGGUUUAUUCCAUGGGUGGAAGAGGAAGCCAAGUUGGCUGAGUGUGAAGG
This 1095-nucleotide long non-coding RNA is filed under the name Homo sapiens (human). Its description in RNAcentral is "HSALNT0365089". The record is from RNAcentral. Lineage: Eukaryota; Metazoa; Chordata; Mammalia; Primates; Hominidae.